Molecule: ribosomal RNA, 448 nt
Filed under: uncultured bacterium
Lineage: Bacteria
Description: partial 16S ribosomal RNA
Rfam family: Bacterial small subunit ribosomal RNA
Source: RNAcentral
UGCCAGACUCCUACGGGAGGCAGCAGUGGGGAAUAUUGGGCAAUGGGCGCAAGCCUGACCCAGCAAUGCCGCGUGAAGGAAGAAGGCUUUCGGGUUGUAAACUUCUUUGACAGGGGAAGAGCAGAAGACGGUACCCUGAAAACAAGCCACGGCUAACUACGUGCCAGCAGCCGCGGUAAUACGUAGGGGGCGAGCGUUAUCCGGAUUCACUGGGUGUAAAGGGAGCGUAGACGGCCAUGCAAGCCAGGGGUGAAAGCCCGGGGCCCAACCCCGGGACUGCCCUUGGAACUGUGCGGCUAGAGUGCGGGAGGGGCAGGCGGAAUUCCUAGUGUAGCGGUGAAAUGCGUAGAUAUUAGGAGGAACACCAGUGGCGAAGGCGGCCUACUGGACGGUGACUGACGCUGAGGCUCGAAAGCGUGGGGAGCAAACAGGAUUAGAUACCCGAGUA